Triplophysa rosa is the source of this 3303-nucleotide long non-coding RNA. RefSeq lists it as uncharacterized. Lineage: Eukaryota; Metazoa; Chordata; Actinopteri; Cypriniformes; Nemacheilidae. The record is from RefSeq and is a predicted model, not a curated record. The transcript is spliced from 12 exons.
GCUCGGUGCAGCUGUGGAACGGAAGACUGCCGCUCGUCUGCCCUUGUCUCCGGGCUCAGAGUGACACGGCUGGAGAGUUUUACACGGCUUUUCCUGCUACAUAAUCUGCACGUCCCCCUUUAAACAUACAGGGAAGGUUUUAGAAGAGCGACUGUGCGAUGGUGAACAGCUUCAUCCCCAGACACCCAAUCCAUUAUCCUGUCAACAACAGCAGGUCUCUGCCACAGUUAGCAGCAACACUGGCCAUGAUGAAAUCAUCAGUAGUCCCAAAACUCAUCUCAUCCUACCCAAGGUAACAGAGAUAUUUUAUCUGACUACCAUGAAAAAUCAAUUAAACAACAAACUGUGGAUAACAAUGGAGGACACGUGCUUUAACUUUCAAUAGAAGAAUACAUCUUUCCUCAAGCAGAAUGACAGUCUGAGUCCAUUCAGGUCAUCGGAAAAGCCUUUGCUUUUUACCCACUGCUCGGCCAUCAUACACGUGAGAGAGAGCCGUUCUGUGAUUGGCUGCCUGUCCGCUCCAUAUUCAGCCGUGCUGGAUGAGGCAGAGGACCUGCUGGGAAAAUGGUGUUGUAAUCAGGAGCUGACUGCGCUGCCUGAUCAGAAUACAUGAAGCGGGGAUCCGACGUUACAAACAGAGAAGUCAUGCAUCUGUUUCGCAUGAAAGGCGGAGGCCUGCCAGACGUGCCAGUCCUGCUGCCAGUUGUUCUCCACCUCAGCCUGCAGACAUGGCUUAAUACGCACACUAACAUGCACAUGCACAUUUGUAUACACUCAUGCAAAUUUAUUUAGAGCGCAUGCUCAAAACAACUCAAAAUACCCACCUACACAUGCAACUGAAAACAAGCCUGAUUAUCGAGCUGUCAAUCGCACGCGGACCUGUUUACACACAUGGCCAUACAUCAUCUACACCUCCCACAAUUCCCAGGCUGUCUGUUUUACACAUGUUUAAGAUUUCAGCUACAUCGGACAAGCAACGUCUGUCACUUGAACUAUUUUUAAACUCUUGUUUUUUGUGUACACACGCACGCACACCCAUUUCUAUGCAUUUGAAACGCCUUACUAAGCCUAUUUUCCCAUCCUGUUUUUUCAGAGGUUCCGCCUACACCCCGGUUGUUUGUGGAAUAGGAUUGACAGGGUUCACAUGUCAAUCCUUCUCAGAUUUGUGGAAUCACUCUAUCAACACGUUUUGCCCUCCGCCCUCGGUUUGAAGAUCAAAGAAAGCCACAGCGUGAUUGAAUAGCACAUGGGUGCUGUAUCAUAAUGAUGGCAGAAGUGCUCCGUUUCAUCUCUUACGCUCUGACUGUAUGCCUGUUUGAAUACAGUGAGCUCCACAAAAGAGAGACACUGAGCCCCCUUCUUACUGGGAUCGUCUGUCUGCCUGCUGGACAAGCUGUGUCCUGCCCACUGAAGUCAAUUCAUAGAUUUGUGAUUGUGAAUCUGUCCUGUUUUAGCAGAGCACAAAAGAACACAUUUUGAAGAACGUUGGUAACCAAACAACAGUGGUACACUGUACAACAGACUUCCACAAAUUGACUUGCAUUGGUUUGGUGUCCAUACAAUAGAAGGGAAUGACAAAAGGGGCCUCACACAAAGCUCUGACAGCAGUUAGACUUUACUGCACCCGCGGUCCGCUGGCUUUAUGAGGCAGACUGAUCCCUCUCUCUGUAAACCCAUCAGUUACGAACAAAGAGGGCAGGUGCGAGGCUGCCUCAAGUACUCACCUGCACCCAGCGGGGGCCGGGCCUCAUUCAGCACACUCCCUUCUCCUCUCUCCUCAAUCUACUCGUGUCUGCUGGACUAGUCUGUUCCUCUUCCUGAAAUCCAGAGUUGUUCUGCCAUGUGCAACUUAUCUAUAAAGACAGGAAGGGAAAACUGCUGGUGCACAAGGCAUUUUUAGAAGAUUAUAACUGUGCGUAGAAUUACUUUGAUUGUCAAUAAAUUAUACAGAAUUCUUCUUUCAACUAGAUUAAAUGACUAGACCAGAGUUUUUUUGUGUGUGCUAUAACUAAAGUGAUCGUUCACCCAAAAAAGAAAAUUUUGUCAUUAUUUACUUACCCUUUUUUCAUUUCAACCCUGAAGUACGUCCUUUCUUCUGCAGAACACAAAAGAACAUAUUCUGAAGAAAGUUCACUCAUUCACUUCUAUUGUAUGGGCACGAAACCAAUGCGUCAAAUUUGUUUAACAACAUUCUUCAAAAUAUCUUCUUUUGUGACAGAUUUUUGCGGGUACACUCGGGAGCAGAUUAAAAAGGGAAAGCGGUCACAUGUCACAACAGGAAGCAGUUGGUCAGUCUGACUGACAGUGCGGUUAGCAUGCAGAGAAAACACAUGCAGGUUAACAGCAUGUCAAUCAAACUCAGAAAGACAGGUGGGCAGCAGGCAGACAGAUAUUAAGGGGAGCAGGCAGGAAGACAGACAGACCAACAGACAGACAUACCCAGGCAGGCGGGCAAGCCAACAGACAGCGGGGGCAGGAGCCUGAGAGUCCGCUCUGUGGCUGAGUAACAGAUGUGUGGUGAAUCUUUAACCAUCCACACUCCCCACUGUCACUGCAUCUGUCCACAGCCCCACUGAGUUAGUGUUGCCCCCACCUGUGUGAAAGAGUUCAACAAUAAAAACCUAUCAGUGCACUUAUUGAUUAGGCUCGACGUGUCAGGGAUGCCGAUAUUUAAUGAUCAGCAGGUCAUUACGCCUCGGUCACUGCUGGUUCAGUCAGAAUUCAACGUGUUCACCGUAUCAACCCAUUGAAAUCUAUUAUUCAGUCUUGUAACUCAAAUGUAUUGAAUUUAAAUUUAAUUUAGGGUUGUCAAAAGAUUAUACAUGUUAAUUUGUAUAUAUUUAUAUUUAUAUAUGUUUUUUUAAAUAGAUGUCCGAAUAAUGAAGAAAAAGCAGUCAAUAAGAUCUCUGAAUAGGUUGGAAACUCUUUUUUAAAAAAUCUUCUUAUAGUGAGACCUCGUGAAGCUAUAAAAUGCUAAGAACGAUUUUGCAAAUACUAAAUAAAUAAUUCUAAAAAAAAGAAAGCUUAAAUGUUUUCAAACUUUUGACUGGUGCUGUAUACUUUAUUUUUUAUGACAAUAAAACUUCAUGAUAAAAAAAUGAAGUAAAAUAAUUGAAUAUGCCAUUACAUUAUUGUCAAUAUUAUUUAGUGUAAAAUUAAAAAUGACAUAACAAAGAAACACUAUGAAUAUAUCAUAUUGCAGGUGAUCUCGGCAGAAGAGCCUCGACCAGGUUGAGCUUGAUUUAUUUCAAUAUUAUUUUUCCACCACUAUUACACCUUUUGGAGUUUUGGUCCCUUGCCAUA